Molecule: ribosomal RNA, 497 nt
Filed under: uncultured bacterium
Lineage: Bacteria
Description: partial 16S ribosomal RNA
Rfam family: Bacterial small subunit ribosomal RNA
Source: RNAcentral
GAUGAACGCUGGCGGCGUGCCUAAUACAUGCAAGUCGAGCGAACGGACGAUAUUCUUUCUUCUCUGAUGUUAUCGGCGGACGUGUGAGUAACACGUGUAUAACCUACCUAUAAUUCUUGGAUAACUUCGUGAAACCUGUUCUUAUACCGGAUAAUAUUUUGUUCCUCAUGGUUCUUAAGUGAAUUUCGGUCUUUCUUUCUCUUAUAGCUUGUUCCGCUCUGCAUUAGCUAGUUGGUAAGGUAACGGCUUACCAAGGCAACGAUGCAUAGCCGACAUGAGAGGGUGAGCGGCAAAAAUGGAACUGAGACACGGAACAGACACCUACGGGAGGCAGCAGUAGGGAAUAUUCCGCAAUGGGCGAAAGCAUGACGGAGCAAAGCCGAGUGAGAGAUGAAGGACUUCGGAUCGUAAAAAACUGUUAUUAGGGAAGAAAAAAAGUGUAAGUAAAAGUGAAAAGAAUGACGGUAACAAAAAAGAAAGCAACGGCUAACUACGUG